GCGUGAGUGAUGAAGGCCCUAGGGUUGUAAAGCUCUUUUACCCGGGAAGAUAAUGACUGUACCGGGAGAAUAAGCCCCGGCUAACUCCGUGCCAGCAGCCGCGGUAAUACGGAGGGGGCUAGCGUUGUUCGGAAUUACUGGGCGUAAAGCGCACGUAGGCGGCUUUGUAAGUUAGAGGUGAAAGCCCGGGGCUUAACCCCGGAAUAGCCUUUAAGACUGCAUCGCUUGAACACGGGAGAGGUGAGUGGAAUUCCGAGUGUAGAGGUGAAAUUCGU
RNAcentral lists this ribosomal RNA (275 nucleotides) under uncultured bacterium. RNAcentral's name for it is "partial 16S ribosomal RNA". It matches the Rfam family "Bacterial small subunit ribosomal RNA", at positions 399 to 691 of the family's 1533-position model. The record is from RNAcentral.